This 1051-nucleotide ribosomal RNA is filed under the name Haplohelminthosporium calami. RNAcentral's name for it is "SSU rRNA". It matches the Rfam family "Eukaryotic small subunit ribosomal RNA", at positions 63 to 1126 of the family's 1831-position model. The record is from RNAcentral. Lineage: Eukaryota; Fungi; Ascomycota; Dothideomycetes; Pleosporales; Massarinaceae.
GUAUAAGCAAUUAUACCGUGAAACUGCGAAUGGCUCAUUAAAUCAGUUAUCGUUUAUUUGAUAGUACCUUACUACUUGGAUACCUGUGGUAAUUCUAGAGCUAAUACAUGCUAAAAACCCCGACUUCGGGAGGGGUGUAUUUAUUAGAUAAAAAACCAAUGCCCUUCGGGGCUCCUUGGUGAUUCAUAAUAACUUCUCAGAUCGCAUGGCCUUGCGCCGGCGACGGUUCAUUCAAAUUUCUGCCCUAUCAACUUUCGAUGGUAAGGUAUUGGCUUACCAUGGUUUCUACGGGUAACGGGGAAUUAGGGUUCGAUUCCGGAGAGUUAGCCUGAGAAACGGCUAACACAUCCAAGGAAGGCAGCAGGCGCGCAAAUUACCCAAUCCUGAUACAGGGAGGUAGUGACAAUAAAUACUAAUACAGGGCUCUUUUGGGUCUUGUAAUUGGAAUGAGUACAAUUUAAACCUCUUAACGAGGAACAAUUGGAGGGCAAGUCUGGUGCCAGCAGCCGCGGUAAUUCCAGCUCCAAUAGCGUAUAUUAAAGUUGUUGCAGUUAAAAAGCUCGUAGUUGAACCUUUGGCCUGGCUGGCAGGUCCGCCUCACCGCGUGCACUUGUCCGGCCGGGCCUUUUCUUCUGGAGAACCGCAUGCCCUUCACUGGGUGUGUUGGGGACCAGGACUUUUACUUUGAAAAAAUUAGAGUGUUCAAAGCAGGCCUUUGCUCGAAUAUUACAGCAUGGAAUAAUGAAAUAGGACGUGCGGUUCUAUUUUGUUGGUUUCUAGGACCGCCGUAAUGAUUAAUAGGGACAGUCGGGGGCAUCAGUAUUCAAUUGUCAGAGGUGAAAUUCUUGGAUUUAUUGAAGACUAACUACUGCGAAAGCAUUUGCCAAGGAUGUUUUCAUUAAUCAGUGAACGAAAGUUAGGGGAUCGAAGACGAUCAGAUACCGUCGUAGUCUUAACCAUAAACUAUGCCGACUAGGGAUCGGGCGGUGUUAUUAUUUUGACUCGCUCGGCACCUUACGAGAAAUCAAAGUGUUUGGGUCUGGGGGAGUAG